AAAAUUCAGUGAAAUGUAGAAAUUUACUGAGGGAUGACAGCAUAGCGUAAUGGAACGCUCAGGCAGAGAAAGAGAGUGGGAUAAGGAAAGUGAAUAGGUAGAAUAUAGGAUUAUGAGUAAGAGAGAGGAAAGUGGAAAAAAACGCAAGAAGAGAGAGAACCAGAUCUUCCAAGUUCAAUAAUGAGCUGUCAAAUUCUGGCACUUGAAAACCCAGACUUCACUAACCUCAAUUUGGAGGAAGAUUUCUACUUCAAUGAGUCAGCAGCUCUGGACGUUAUGCUCACCCCAGACCAGGCCCUGAUCCCAGGACUCGAAUGAAUAAGCUGCGGUGAAAGAGAAGCAAGCUAGGCGGCGUCAUGAUUAGACUACGUUGACGAGCAUCUAGGCCGCCGAAUGUACAAUCACUAUAUGACAAACUGUACGAGCUUUGUUCAAGACUAUCAAUGGGACCUGAAGAACUGUAAUAACAAGGACAUGGAUAAUACACUGCUCAAAAAAAUAAAGGGAACACUAAAAUAACA
Oncorhynchus keta (chum salmon) is the source of this 521-nucleotide long non-coding RNA. RefSeq lists it as uncharacterized. The transcript is spliced from 2 exons. The record is from RefSeq and is a predicted model, not a curated record. NCBI's taxonomy places the organism in Eukaryota, Metazoa, Chordata, Actinopteri, Salmoniformes, Salmonidae.